AAGUGUUGGAGGGUUUCCGCCCUUCAGUGCUGCAGCAAACGCAUUAAGCACUCCGCCUGGGGAGUACGACCGCAAGGUUGAAACUCAAAGGAAUUGACGGGGGCCCGCACAAGCGGUGGAGCAUGUGGUUUAAUUCGAAGCAACGCGAAGAACCUUACCAGGUCUUGACAUCCUUUGACCACUCUAGAGAUAGAGCUUUCCCUUCGGGGACAAAGUGACAGGUGGUGCAUGGUUGUCGUCAGCUCGUGUCGUGAGAUGUUGGGUUAAGUCCCGCAACGAGCGCAACCCUUAUUGUUAGUUGCCAUCAUUUAGUUGGGCACUCUAGCGAGACUGCCGGUGACAAACCGGAGGAAGGUGGGGAUGACGUCAAAUCAUCAUGCCCCUUAUGACCUGGGCUACACACGUGCUACAAUGGGAAGUACAACGAGUCGCUAGACCGCGAGGUCAUGCAAAUCUCUUAAAGCUUCUCUCAGUUCGGAUUGCAGGCUGCAACUCGCCUGCAUGAAGCCGGAAUCGCUAGUAAUCGCGGAUCAGCACGCCGCGGUGAAUACGUUCCCGGGCCUUGUACACACCGCCCGUCACACCACGAGAGUUUGUAACACCCGAAGUCGGUGAGGUAACCUUUUUGGAGCCAGCCGCCUAAGGUGGGAUAGAUGAUUGGGGUGAAGUCGUAACAAGGUAGCCGUAUCGGAAGGUGCGGCUGGAUCACCUCCUUUCUAAGGAA
RNAcentral lists this ribosomal RNA (724 nucleotides) under Enterococcus faecalis. RNAcentral's name for it is "bacterial SSU rRNA". It matches the Rfam family "Bacterial small subunit ribosomal RNA", at positions 818 to 1533 of the family's 1533-position model. The record is from RNAcentral. Lineage: Bacteria; Bacillati; Bacillota; Bacilli; Lactobacillales; Enterococcaceae.